Molecule: ribosomal RNA, 259 nt
Filed under: uncultured bacterium
Lineage: Bacteria
Description: partial 16S ribosomal RNA
Rfam family: Bacterial small subunit ribosomal RNA
Source: RNAcentral
UGGCGGACGGGUGGAGUAACGCGUGGAUAACCUGCCUCAUACAGGGGAGUAACAGUUGGAAACGGCUGUUAAUACCGCAUAAGCGCACGAAAUCGCAUGGUUUUGUGUGAAAAACUCCGGUGGUAUGAGAUGGGUCCGCGUCUGAUUAGCUAGUUGGCAGGGUAACGGCCUACCAAGGCGACGAUCAGUAGCCGGCCUGAGAGGGUGUACGGCCACAUUGGGACUGAGACACGGCCCAAACUCCUACGGGAGGCAGCAG